Molecule: ribosomal RNA, 400 nt
Filed under: uncultured bacterium
Lineage: Bacteria
Description: bacterial SSU rRNA
Rfam family: Bacterial small subunit ribosomal RNA
Source: RNAcentral
UGGGGAAUAUUGGACAAUGGGCGCAAGCCUGAUCCAGCCAUGCCGCGUGAGUGAUGAAGGCCUUAGGGUUGUAAAGCUCUUUCGACGGGGACGAUAAUGACGGUACCCGCAGAAGAAGCCCCGGCUAACUUCGUGCCAGCAGCCGCGGUAAUACGAAGGGGGCUAGCGUUGUUCGGAAUCACUGGGCGUAAAGGGCGCGUAGGCGGCCGUUCAAGUCGGGGGUGAAAGCCUGUGGCUCAACCACAGAAUUGCCUUCGAUACUGUACGGCUCGAGACCGGAAGAGGUAAGUGGAACUGCGAGUGUAGAGGUGAAAUUCGUAGAUAUUCGCAAGAACACCAGUGGCGAAGGCGGCUUACUGGUCCGGAUCUGACGCUGAGGCGCGAAAGCGUGGGGAGCAAA